This 307-nucleotide unclassified non-coding RNA is filed under the name uncultured Ascomycota. RNAcentral's name for it is "partial contains 5.8S ribosomal RNA, internal transcribed spacer 2, and large subunit ribosomal RNA". The stretch from base 1 to 102 matches the Rfam family "5.8S ribosomal RNA", at positions 53 to 154 of the family's 154-position model. Lineage: Eukaryota; Fungi; Ascomycota. The record is from RNAcentral.
AUGCGAUAAGUAAUGUGAAUUGCAGAAUUCAGUGAAUCAUCGAAUCUUUGAACGCACAUUGCGCCCUCUGGUAUUCCGGGGGGCAUGCCUGUCCGAGCGUCAUUACUGCCCUCAAGCGCGGCUUGUGUGUUGGGCGCCGUCCCCUUUCCGGGGGGACGGGCCCGAAAGGCAGUGGCGGCGCCGUGUCCGGUCCUCGAGCGUAUGGGGCUUUGUCACCCGCUCCGGAGGCCCGGCCGGUCGCCGCCGACCCAACCCAAAUUUUUUACCGGUUGACCUCGGAUCAGGCAGGGAUACCCGCUGAACUUAA